CACUGUGAGCUGCCAGGACUGCAGUGCCCAGGCCGUGCCACCCUGCCAGGAGCAGGGCUGUGUCUGUGGGAGGGAGCCCGGAGCACUGUGAGCUGCCAGGACUGCAGUGCCCAGGCCGUGCCACCCUGCCAGGAGCAGGGCUGUGUCUGUGGGAGGGAGCGGGGUGCGGAGCGCCAUGAGGGGAGCGCAGGCCGCGCACCGGGCCGGGCACUGGGCCAGGGCUCUGUGGGAGCUGCGCUGACACUGGGCCCUGUGUGCCCUCCAGGCCCUCUCCAGGGACAGCCAAUGUCUGGCACUGCUGCGUAAUUGCAUCAAUUGCACGCCGAGUACCUGCGGCAGCUGCUUUGCAGGUCCCCUGCUGUGCGAAUCGCCCUUCACAGAGGCAGAUCUUCCUGUCAGCGACUGACAAGAGGUGCCAGGAGCAGGCUACGAGACUUUUGAAACCUGAACUGUGUUUACAACAGCCUAAACAAGGAGAAAAUAUUCUUAGUACUAAACAGCUCUUGUUUUUCUUCUCCAAAGAAAUAAAGAUGCCUUUCAUAUUUUC
Molecule: non-coding RNA, 547 nt
Organism: Taeniopygia guttata (zebra finch)
Lineage: Eukaryota; Metazoa; Chordata; Aves; Passeriformes; Estrildidae
Source: RefSeq, a predicted model, not a curated record